AAAAAAAAAAAAAAAAAUAAAUACUUUUUUACUCUCUUAGGUUAAGAAUAAAGUGAUGAAUUAAAAACAUUUCUUACACAUAAUAUAAUCCGUUAAAUAAGAAGCUUCAUCAAUGAUUGGACAAUGGUUACAAGCACUUCAAUUUUUGGUCAAUGGUUACAAGGACUUCAAUUUUUGGACAAUGGUUACAAGGACUUCAAUUAUUGGACAAUGGUCACAUAUUUUCCAAUAACACUAAACUGGACUCUCGUUGCUGAGAUGUUGAAUAUAUAUAUAUUUUGAUACUAAUCGCAACUAA
This is a long non-coding RNA of Drosophila willistoni, 298 nucleotides long. RefSeq lists it as uncharacterized. The transcript is spliced from 2 exons. The record is from RefSeq and is a predicted model, not a curated record. NCBI's taxonomy places the organism in Eukaryota, Metazoa, Arthropoda, Insecta, Diptera, Drosophilidae.